UUAGUUUACUAAUUGGGUGGCGACCGGCGCACGGGUGCGUAACGCGUAUGCAACCUACCUUGUACUGGGGUAUAGCCCGGAGAAAUUCGGAUUAAUCCCCCAUAGUAUUAAACAACCGCAUGGUUGAAUAAUUAAGGGUUACGGUACAAGAUGGGCAUGCGUCCUAUUAGCUAGAUGGUGAGGUAACGGCUCACCAUGGCGACGAUAGGUAGGGGGCCUGAGAGGGUGGUCCCCCACACUGGUACUGAGACACGGACCAGACUCCUACGGGAGGCAGCAGUGAGGAAUAUUGGUCAAUGGGCGCAAGCCUGAACCAGCCAUGCCGCGUGCAGGAAGAAUGCCCUAUGGGUUGUAAACUGCUUUUAUUUAGGAAUAAACUCUUGUACGUGUACAAGCCUGAAGGUACUAAAUGAAUAAGCACCGGCUAACUCCGUGCCAGCAGCCGCGGUAAUACGGAGGGUGCAAGCGUUAUCCGGAAUCAUUGGGUUUAAAGGGUCCGC
Molecule: ribosomal RNA, 500 nt
Filed under: uncultured bacterium
Lineage: Bacteria
Description: bacterial SSU rRNA
Rfam family: Bacterial small subunit ribosomal RNA
Source: RNAcentral